This 513-nucleotide ribosomal RNA is filed under the name Tirachoidea westwoodii. RNAcentral's name for it is "partial 16S ribosomal RNA". The stretch from base 398 to 513 matches the Rfam family "Bacterial large subunit ribosomal RNA", at positions 2473 to 2588 of the family's 2925-position model. The record is from RNAcentral. Lineage: Eukaryota; Metazoa; Arthropoda; Insecta; Phasmatodea; Phasmatidae.
AACAUCUUUUCUUGUUUUAUUAUUUGAGAUUUGACCUGCCCAAUGAUUAGAUAAUUUAAUGGCCGCAGUAUUUUGACUGUGCAAAGGUAGCAUAAUCAUUAGUUUAUUAAUUGUGAACUUGUUAUGAAUGGUUGGACGAAAUAUUAACUGUCUCUAUUUAAUUUUUAAAAAUUAAAUUUUAAGUUAAAAUGCUUAAAUAUAUUUAUAGGACGAGAAGACCCUAUUGAUCUUUAUUAUUUAUUAAUAAGAUGUAUUUUGGAUUAUUUUAAUAUUUUGUUUAUAAUUAAAUUAUUUUGUUGGGGUGAUAUGGAGAUAUAAUUAACUCUUUAUUUUAUUUUUACAUAUAUUUAUGUAUAAUUGACCUUGUAAUAUUGUUAUAAGAUAUAGAUACCAUAGGGAUAACAGCGUAAUUUUUUCUGAGAGUUCUUAUUAACGAAAAAGAUUUCGACCUCGAUGUUGGAUUAAGAUUAAUUUUGGGUGUAGAUGCUUGAUUUAUUAGGUCUGUUCGACCUU